This 83-nucleotide transfer RNA is filed under the name Felis catus (domestic cat). It matches the Rfam family "tRNA". Rfam says of the family: Transfer RNA (tRNA) molecules are approximately 80 nucleotides in length. The record is from Rfam by way of RNAcentral. Lineage: Eukaryota; Metazoa; Chordata; Mammalia; Carnivora; Felidae. RNAcentral also lists the same sequence under 1 other name.
GCUCAGUUGGUUAAGCGGCUGACUCUUGAUUUUGGCUCAGAUCAUGAUCUCAUGUUUUGUAGGUUCAAGCCCCACACUGGGCU